RNAcentral lists this ribosomal RNA (1072 nucleotides) under Pseudomonas avellanae. Its description in RNAcentral is "bacterial LSU rRNA". It matches the Rfam family "Bacterial large subunit ribosomal RNA", at positions 314 to 1392 of the family's 2925-position model. The record is from RNAcentral. Lineage: Bacteria; Pseudomonadati; Pseudomonadota; Gammaproteobacteria; Pseudomonadales; Pseudomonadaceae.
GUGAUAGUCAGACGGUUAACAAAACGGAAUGGAAAGUCCGGCCAUAGUAGGUGAUAGCCCUGUAUGUGAAAACCGACUGGUGGUACUGAGCUAGAGAAAAGUAGGGCGGGGCACGAGAAACCUUGUCUGAAUAUGGGGGGACCAUCCUCCAAGGCUAAAUACUCAUCAUCGACCGAUAGUGAACCAGUACCGUGAGGGAAAGGCGAAAAGAACCCCGGGAGGGGAGUGAAAUAGAUCCUGAAACCGCAUGCUUACAAAAAGUAGGAGCCCGCAAGGGUGACUGCGUACCUUUUGUAUAAUGGGUCAGCGACUUACAUUCAGUGGCAAGGUUAACCGAAUAGGGGAGCCGUAGAGAAAUCGAGUCCGAAUAGGGCGUCCAGUCGCUGGGUGUAGACCCGAAACCAAGUGAUCUAUCCAUGGCCAGGAUGAAGGUGCCGUAACAGGUACUGGAGGUCCGAACCGACUAGUGUUGCAAAACUAGCGGAUGAGCUGUGGAUAGGGGUGAAAGGCUAAACAAACUUGGAAAUAGCUGGUUCUCUCCGAAAACUAUUUAGGUAGUGCCUCAAGUAUUACCUGCGGGGGUAGAGCACUGUUUAGGCUAGGGGGUCAUGGCGACUUACCAAACCUAUGCAAACUCCGAAUACCGCAGAGUACAGCUUGGGAGACAGAGCACCGGGUGCUAACGUCCGGACUCAAGAGGGAAACAACCCAGACCGCCAGCUAAGGUCCCUAAAAUUGGCUAAGUGGGAAACGAAGUGGGAAGGCUAAAACAGUCAGGAUGUUGGCUUAGAAGCAGCCAUCAUUUAAAGAAAGCGUAAUAGCUCACUGAUCGAGUCGUCCUGCGCGGAAGAUGUAACGGGGCUAAGCCAGUUACCGAAGCUGCGGAUUUGCAAUUUAUUGCAAGUGGUAGGAGAGCGUUCUGUAAGCCUGUGAAGGUGCCUGGUAACGGGUGCUGGAGGUAUCAGAAGUGCGAAUGCUGACAUGAGUAGCGUUAAAGGGGGUGAAAAGCCCCCUCGCCGUAAGCGCAAGGUUUCCUACGCAACGUUCAUCGGCGUAGGGUGAGUCGGCCCCU